Long non-coding RNA from Hippocampus zosterae (dwarf seahorse), 364 nucleotides. RefSeq lists it as uncharacterized. The record is from RefSeq and is a predicted model, not a curated record. The transcript has 2 exons. NCBI's taxonomy places the organism in Eukaryota, Metazoa, Chordata, Actinopteri, Syngnathiformes, Syngnathidae.
CAGUAAGAUUGCCCUGGAAGUUUGAAAGGGGAGGUAGGUUGAACAUUUAUGGUAGGGAAAAAGAGGGAAGGAACUUGCCCACUUUGUUUGCAACUAAUAUUGGUUAUCUUGAAUCAUAAACCAAUCUAAAGCAGUAGUCUUCUUGAUUGGACCGUGUUGCAAAUUUUUCUUGGGAGGGAGGAAAGGAACACACACUAAUUCCGUUUUUUUUUUAAAUAACUGAUGUAACAUUCAAAAGCAAUGUUUUUUUUAUUUUUUGCUGUGACAGGUAACCUUGGAAGUUUAAAAAUGGACUCGACCACAUCUAACCUUGCACAUUUUGAAUUAUACUAUAUAACAUUCAAAAGCGAAAUAAAGUUCGUAU